UCUCGAUUGGUCUAGUGGUAAGGAUACCUGCUUGUCAAGCACUAGACAAUGGUCUAGUUUCCACGACGGUGGAUAUAGCAAGCCGCAGGUGGCCGGGGUUCGAUUCCCCGAUCGAGAG
Non-coding RNA from Hypoxylon argillaceum, 118 nucleotides. NCBI's taxonomy places the organism in Eukaryota, Fungi, Ascomycota, Sordariomycetes, Xylariales, Hypoxylaceae. The record is from the annotation of a GenBank genome assembly.